GCCGAAGUGGUGGAACUGGUAGACACGCCAUCUUGAGGGGGUGGUGGGCAAUCGCCCGUGCGAGUUCGAGUCUCGCCUUCGGCACCA
Molecule: transfer RNA, 87 nt
Filed under: Desulfuromonas sp.
Lineage: Bacteria; Pseudomonadati; Thermodesulfobacteriota; Desulfuromonadia; Desulfuromonadales; Desulfuromonadaceae
Also listed under: 1 other name
Description: tRNA-Leu
Rfam family: tRNA
About the family: Transfer RNA (tRNA) molecules are approximately 80 nucleotides in length.
Source: RNAcentral